This is a non-coding RNA of Rattus norvegicus (Norway rat), 491 nucleotides long. The record is from RefSeq and is a predicted model, not a curated record. NCBI's taxonomy places the organism in Eukaryota, Metazoa, Chordata, Mammalia, Rodentia, Muridae.
AACUUCAUCCCAGCUGCCUGCAAAUCAGCAUUUUGCUAGCAGCCUUCAGAUGAAGAUGUAGAACUCUCAGCUCCUCCUGCACCAUGCCUGCCUAGAUGUUGCCAUGUACCCACCUUGAUGAUAAUGGACUGAACCUCUGAACCUGUCUCUCCUCUUCAAGAUGCAAUAAACGAUUUGCUGCAGAAGGAUCCUGGUGUCCGCAUGCAUUCUUGCUGGCAAGACGAUAGUGCAGGACAUUUGGUGCCGAAACCCGGGACAAAUGCCUCACCAUCGCCGGCGCCGAGGAGACCCUCCACUUGAGGAAAGGAUUCAGAACUGCAGGACGAAGCAAGAAGACAAUCUGUUCUGGCUACCGGAAUGACUGACACGAAGAAUUCUGACACCUGGAGAUGACUCCCGGAUGGACCCCUUGGAAACUACCCCUAGCCCUCGCAAUGCCUCUUUGGAUAUGGGUUCCUAGUAUAUUGGGAGAAUACAGAUGGGCAAUUUUG